RNAcentral lists this transfer RNA (77 nucleotides) under Xanthoceras sorbifolium. RNAcentral describes it as "tRNA-Lys". It matches the Rfam family "tRNA". Rfam says of the family: Transfer RNA (tRNA) molecules are approximately 80 nucleotides in length. Their secondary structure includes four short double-helical elements and three loops (D, anti-codon, and T loops). The record is from RNAcentral. Lineage: Eukaryota; Viridiplantae; Streptophyta; Magnoliopsida; Sapindales; Sapindaceae.
GCCACGAUCAGAAUAAAGGUCGGUCGUUCACCUGAUUCUUGCAUUAGGAGGUGCAGGUUCGAAUCCUGCUCGUGGCU